This 253-nucleotide ribosomal RNA is filed under the name uncultured bacterium. Its description in RNAcentral is "partial 16S ribosomal RNA". It matches the Rfam family "Bacterial small subunit ribosomal RNA", at positions 524 to 776 of the family's 1533-position model. The record is from RNAcentral.
UACGUAGGAUGCAAGCGUUGUCCGGAAUUAUUGGGCGUAAAGCGAACGUAGGCGGCUUCUUAAGUUUGGUCUUAAAGACCAGGGCUCAACCCUGGGAAUGGACUGAAUACUGGGAGGCUCGAGGGUGUCAGAGGAAGGUGGAAUUCCGAGUGUAGCGGUGAAAUGCGUAGAUAUUCGGAGGAACACCGGUGGCGAAAGCGACCUUCUGGGGCAUUCCUGACGCUGAGGUUCGAAAGCUCGGGGAGCAAACAGG